GAAUAUUGGACAAUGGGCGAAAGCCUGAUCCAGCCAUGCCGCGUGAGUGAUGAAGGCCCUAGGGUUGUAAAGCUCUUUCGGCGGGGAAGAUAAUGACGGUACCCGCAGAAGAAGCCCCGGCUAACUUCGUGCCAGCAGCCGCGGUAAUACGAAGGGGGCUAGCGUUGUUCGGAAUUACUGGGCGUAAAGCGCGCGUAGGCGGAUUGGUAAGUUGGGGGUGAAAUCCCGGGGCUCAACCCCGGAACUGCCUCCAAAACUCCCAGUCUUGAGUUCGAGAGAAGUGAGUGGAAUUCCGAGUGUAGAGGUGAAAUUCGUAGAUAUUCGGAGGAACACCAGUGGCGAAGGCGGCUCACUGGCUCGAUACUGACGCUGAGGUGCGAAAGCGUGGGGAGCAAACAGGA
Molecule: ribosomal RNA, 401 nt
Filed under: uncultured bacterium
Lineage: Bacteria
Description: bacterial SSU rRNA
Rfam family: Bacterial small subunit ribosomal RNA
Source: RNAcentral